GUUCCGGUGGUCUAGUGGUUAGAGCGUCCGCCUCGGAUGUGAAAGAUGGCGGGUUCGAAGCCUACCCGAAUCA
Non-coding RNA from Potamilus streckersoni, 73 nucleotides. Lineage: Eukaryota; Metazoa; Mollusca; Bivalvia; Unionida; Unionidae. The record is from the annotation of a GenBank genome assembly.